UACAGAGGGUGCAAGCGUUGUUCGGAAUUACUGGGCGUAAAGCGCGUGUAGGUGGCGAUGUAAGUCGGGUGUGAAAUCCCUCGGCUCAACCGAGGAAGUGCACUCGAUACUGUGUCGCUUGAGUGUUGGAGGGGAUGGCGGAAUUCCCGGUGUAGAGGUGAAAUUCGUAGAUAUCGGGAGGAACACCUGUGGCGAAGGCGGCCAUCUGGACAACUACUGACACUGAGACCCGAAAGCGUGGGUAGCAAACAGG
This 253-nucleotide ribosomal RNA is filed under the name uncultured bacterium. RNAcentral describes it as "partial 16S ribosomal RNA". It matches the Rfam family "Bacterial small subunit ribosomal RNA", at positions 524 to 776 of the family's 1533-position model. The record is from RNAcentral.